This 560-nucleotide ribosomal RNA is filed under the name uncultured bacterium. RNAcentral describes it as "bacterial SSU rRNA". It matches the Rfam family "Bacterial small subunit ribosomal RNA", at positions 8 to 551 of the family's 1533-position model. The record is from RNAcentral.
AGAGUUUGAUCCUGGCUCAGGACGAACGCUGGCGGCGUGCCUAANACAUGCAAGUCGAGCGAAUCUUGAGGUGCUUGCACCUCUUGGUUAGCGGCGGACGGGUGAGUAACACGUGGGCAACCUGCCUGUAAGACUGGGAUAACACCGGGAAACCGGUGCUAAUACCGGAUAAUCCUUUUCCUCUCNUGAGGAAAAGCUGAAAGUCGGUUUACGCUGACACUUACAGAUGGGCCCGCGGCGCAUUAGCUAGUUGGUGAGGUAACGGCUCACCAAGGCGACGAUGCGUAGCCGACCUGAGAGGGUGAUCGGCCACACUGGGACUGAGACACGGCCCAGACUCCUACGGGAGGCAGCAGUAGGGAAUCUUCCGCAAUGGACGAAAGUCUGACGGAGCAACGCCGCGUGAGCGAUGAAGGCCUUCGGGUCGNAAAGCUCUGUUGUUAGGGAAGAACAAGUACCGGAGUAACUGCCGGUACCUUGACGGUACCUAACCAGAAAGCCACGGCUAACUACGUGCCAGCAGCCGCGGUAAUACGUAGGUGGCAAGCGUUGUCCGGAAU